GACAGAGGUCCCGAGCGUUAGGCGGAAUCACUGGGCUUAAAGCGUGUGUAGGCGGAGUUCUAAGUACCUUGUGAAAUCCCACGGCUCAACCGUGGAACUGCUUGGUAUACUGGUUCUCUUGAGCCACCUAGGGGCAACCGGAACAAACGGUGGAGCGGUGAAAUGCGUAGAUAUCGUUUGGAACGCCAAUGGUGAAAACAGGUUGCUGGGGGUGUGCUGACGCUGAGACACGAAAGCCAGGGGAGCAAACGGG
RNAcentral lists this ribosomal RNA (253 nucleotides) under uncultured bacterium. RNAcentral describes it as "partial 16S ribosomal RNA". It matches the Rfam family "Bacterial small subunit ribosomal RNA", at positions 524 to 776 of the family's 1533-position model. The record is from RNAcentral.